UGGCUCAGUUAGUAGAGCGUGGUGCUUGCAACCCCAGUGUUGUGGGUUUGAUUCCCAC
This 58-nucleotide transfer RNA is filed under the name Salmo salar (Atlantic salmon). It matches the Rfam family "tRNA", at positions 8 to 63 of the family's 71-position model. From Rfam's summary of the family: Transfer RNA (tRNA) molecules are approximately 80 nucleotides in length. Their secondary structure includes four short double-helical elements and three loops (D, anti-codon, and T loops). Further hydrogen bonds mediate the characteristic L-shaped molecular structure. tRNAs have two regions of fundamental functional importance: the anti-codon, which is responsible for specific mRNA codon recognition, and the 3' end, to which the tRNAs corresponding amino acid is attached (by aminoacyl-tRNA synthetases). tRNAs cope with the degeneracy of the genetic code in two manners: having more than one tRNA (with a specific anti-codon) for a particular amino acid; and 'wobble' base-pairing, i.e. permitting non-standard base-pairing at the 3rd anti-codon position. The record is from Rfam by way of RNAcentral. RNAcentral also lists the same sequence under 1 other name. Lineage: Eukaryota; Metazoa; Chordata; Actinopteri; Salmoniformes; Salmonidae.